GCUGAAAACCCUCACACGAACGAAAGACCUAGCGCUCUCUCCUUUCGUCUCUCGCGACUGGCGGCGGCGGUCGAACGAGGCCACACGGCGGCGGCAGAGCGAAUAGGUGCUUUCCAAGCUUCGCCAGAGGUGUAAACCCUUCGCCGGAGGCCUCAGUCCCUUUCCCCCGCUGCUUGAGCAAGAUGAGCAAGAUGGCGAUCAGGGUUCCCAAGAGCAUGCGCGCCAAGCGCGAGCUCCUCAAGCAUGCGCCCAAGCUCGUUGAGAAUGGCAAGAAGAUGCUUAUUCUUCAUGGUACAAAGACCAGCGCAGUUUUGAACUCUGUGCUGGCAGAUCUUUUCCACCUGAAGCGUGAUCAUGCUGUCAAGUACACCAAGAAGAACGACAGCAUCAGGCCAUUUGAGAGCGGGGGUGAAACUUCCCUGGAGUUCUUCUCCCUUAAAUCUGACUGCAGCCUCUUAGUGUAUGGUUCUCAUUCAAAGAAGAGGCCCAACAAUCUUGUUUUCGGAAGGACUUACGAUCACCACAUAUAUGACCUUGUUGAAGUAGGAGUUGAGAACUACAAAUCCAUAGAAUCCUAUGCAUAUGAUAAAAAGUUGGCACCUAAACUUGGAACAAAGCCUUUCUUUGCCUUCAUUGGGGAGCACUUUGAGAGUGUUGAAGGACUGAAGCAUUUGAAGGAAAUGCUGCUUGAUCAUUUCAAAGGAGAGGUGGUAGAGAAUCUGAACCUUGCUGGUGUAGAUCGGAUAUUCGUGUGCACAGCAAUUUCUCCUACUACUGUCUACAUGAUGCACUGCGCUCUCCGUCUAAAAAGGUCAGGCACCUCUAUUCCUAGAAUGGAGCUGGUUGAAGUUGGGCCUUCAAUGGACCUGGUACUUAGGCGGCACCGACAAGCAGCUGAAAGUUUACAGAAAGAAGCUAUGAAGGCUCCUGGUCAUGCUAAGAAGGUGAAAAAUGUCACAAAUAAUCCAGUUGAAGGCAAGCAGGGCAGGAUCUACAUUCCAGACCAGGAGGUUUCAAAAUUGACCGUAACAAGCAACAUAAAGGGUCUGAAGCGUGAGCGUCGUGAUGCCAAGAAAAACAAGGAGCACUCGAAGAAGCAAAAGGUGGCUGAAAACUAGAGAAGGCUAAUAUCUGUAACCGGUCAGUUUAAGGACUUUCGGUCGAUAGGUUGAGUGGUAAAUAGUCCAGUACCAUCCUUUAAAGCUAUCAAACCUGUGUAUGGACUUUGGCGUCAGUAUCGAGGCAGCUUAUCUAUCAGACAUAAGAAUGGAAUUUUGGAGCAACAUAUGUUACAAGUAUUUCUGUUUUACUGUUGUUAUUAGCACUGACAUUAGCCGACGAGAGGCGAUUGUUGUGAUGACAUGGUUAAGUUUUGUUAUCAUGGACGUUGUGCCUUUUCUGAAUCUGCAUUUCCUCCGUUUUUGCAACCUUAUCUUUAUCCAUGGUGUUGUGAAUACCGUAGGCUCUGUGAAAGUGCAGCUUGCGCUGAACUGCAUCUCAACAGUUGGGCCAGCCCCUGGUGUCGCUCAGCGUUAG
This 1536-nucleotide ribosomal RNA is filed under the name Triticum aestivum (bread wheat). RNAcentral's name for it is "partial small subunit ribosomal RNA". Lineage: Eukaryota; Viridiplantae; Streptophyta; Magnoliopsida; Poales; Poaceae. The record is from RNAcentral.